GUCUCAAUAGCAUAGUGGUUAGUGCACAAACCCGGAUAGGUUGAGACGCGGGUUCAAAUCCCGCCUGAGAUG
This 72-nucleotide transfer RNA is filed under the name Nippostrongylus brasiliensis. It matches the Rfam family "tRNA". Rfam says of the family: Transfer RNA (tRNA) molecules are approximately 80 nucleotides in length. Their secondary structure includes four short double-helical elements and three loops (D, anti-codon, and T loops). The record is from Rfam by way of RNAcentral. Lineage: Eukaryota; Metazoa; Nematoda; Chromadorea; Rhabditida; Heligmosomidae.